AAUUACUGGGCGUAAAGCGCGCGUAGGUGGUUCGUUAAGUUGGAUGUGAAGCCCCGGGCUCAACCUGGGAACUGCAUCCAAAACUGGCGAGCUAGAGUAUGGCAGAGGGUGGUGGAAUUUCCUGUGUAGCGGUGAAAUGCGUAGAUAUAGGAAGGAACACCAGUGGCGAAGGCGACCACCUGGGCUAAUACUGACACUGAGGUGCGAAAGCUUGGGGGAGCAAACAGGAUUAGAUACCCUGGUAGUCCACGCCGUAAACGAUGUCGACUAGCCGUUGGGAUCCUUGAGAUCUUAGUGGCGCAGCUAACGCAUUAAGUCGACCGCCUGGGGAGUACGGCCGCAGGUUAAAACUCAAAUGAAUUGACGGGGGCCGCACAAGCGGUGGAGCAUGGUGGUUUAUUCGAAGCAACGCGAAGGAACCUUACAGGCCUUGACAUGAGAGAACUUUCAGAGAUGGAUUGGUGGCUUCGGGAGUCUGAAACAGGUGCUGCAUGGUGUCGUCAGCUCGUGUCGUAGAUGUUGGGUAAGUCCCGUAACAGGCCACCCUUGUCUUAUUACAGCCGUUAGGUGGCACUCUAAGAGAUGCGGUGAAAAACGAGAAGGUGGGAAGAGUCAGUAUCAGGCC
This 625-nucleotide ribosomal RNA is filed under the name Pseudomonas sp. RNAcentral's name for it is "bacterial SSU rRNA". It matches the Rfam family "Bacterial small subunit ribosomal RNA", at positions 549 to 1200 of the family's 1533-position model. Lineage: Bacteria; Pseudomonadati; Pseudomonadota; Gammaproteobacteria; Pseudomonadales; Pseudomonadaceae. The record is from RNAcentral.